This 154-nucleotide small nucleolar RNA is filed under the name Zalophus californianus (California sea lion). Lineage: Eukaryota; Metazoa; Chordata; Mammalia; Carnivora; Otariidae. The record is from RNAcentral.
ACAGGACAUUUUUAAAGCUUGGAGUUCAGGCCGCUGGUUGGCUGAUGAACUCACAAGUGUAGAUCAUGUGCUACAUGAGGGGCAAGCCUUUCACCAACACCAUCAGGGUCUCUGGCCCAAUAAGUAGUGUUUGGUUGUAAUUCUUGCUACAAGU